Molecule: ribosomal RNA, 819 nt
Filed under: Escherichia coli
Lineage: Bacteria; Pseudomonadati; Pseudomonadota; Gammaproteobacteria; Enterobacterales; Enterobacteriaceae
Description: partial 23S ribosomal RNA
Rfam family: Bacterial large subunit ribosomal RNA
Source: RNAcentral
ACAGCCCCGUACACAAAAAUGCACAUAUUGUGAGCUCGAUGAGUAGGGCGGGACACGUGGUAUCCUGUCUGAAUAUGGGGGGACCAUCCUCCAAGGCUAAAUACUCCUGACUGACCGAUAGUGAACCAGUACCGUGAGGGAAAGGCGAAAAGAACCCCGGCGAGGGGAGUGAAAAAGAACCUGAAACCGUGUACGUACAAGCAGUGGGAGCCUCUUAAUGGGGUGACUGCGUACCUUUUGUAUAAUGGGUCAGCGACUUAUAUUCUGUAGCAAGGUUAACCGAAUAGGGGAGCCGAAGGGAAACCGAGUCUUAACUGGGCGUUAAGUUGCAGGGUAUAGACCCGAAACCCGGUGAUCUAGCCAUGGGCAGGUUGAAGGUUGGGUAACACUAACUGGAGGACCGAACCGACUAAUGUUGAAAAAUUAGCGGAUGACUUGUGGCUGGGGGUGAAAGGCCAAUCAAACCGGGAGAUAGCUGGUUCUCCCCGAAAGCUAUUUAGGUAGCGCCUCGUGAAUUCAUCUCCGGGGGUAGAGCACUGUUUCGGCAAGGGGGUCAUCCCGACUUACCAACCCGAUGCAAACUGCGAAUACCGGAGAAUGUUAUCACGGGAGACACACGGCGGGUGCUAACGUCCGUCGUGAAGAGGGAAACAACCCAGACCGCCAGCUAAGGUCCCAAAGUCAUGGUUAAGUGGGAAACGAUGUGGGAAGGCCCAGACAGCCAGGAUGUUGGCUUAGAAGCAGCCAUCAUUUAAAGAAAGCGUAAUAGCUCACUGGUCGAGUCGGCCUGCGCGGAAGAUGUAACGGGGCUAAACCAUG